GACGAACGCUGGCGGCGUGCUUAACACAUGCAAGUCGAACGGAAAGGCCCUGCUUUUGUGGGGUGCUCGAGUGGCGAACGGGUGAGUAACACGUGAGUAACCUGCCCUUGACUUUGGGAUAACUUCAGGAAACUGGGGCUAAUACCGGAUAGGAGCUCCUGCUGCAUGGUGGGGGUUGGAAAGUUUCGGCGGUUGGGGAUGGACUCGCGGCUUAUCAGCUUGUUGGUGGGGUAGUGGCUUACCAAGGCUUUGACGGGUAGCCGGCCUGAGAGGGUGACCGGCCACAUUGGGACUGAGAUACGGCCCAGACUCCUACGGGAGGCAGCAGUGGGGAAUAUUGCACAGUGGGCGGAAGCCUGAUGCAGCAACGCCGCGUGCGGGAUGACGGCCUUCGGGUUGUAAACCGCUUUCGCCUGUGACGAAGCGUGAGUGACGGUAAUGGGUAAAGAAGCACCGGCUAACUACGUGCCAGCAGCCGCGGUGAUACGUAGGGUGCGAGCGUUGUCCGGAUUUAUUGGGCGUAAAGGGCUCGUAGGUGGUUGAUCGCGUCGGAAGUGUAAUCUUGGGGCUUAACCCUGAGCGUGCUUUCGAUACGGGUUGACUUGAGGAAGGUAGGGGAGAAUGGAAUUCCUGGUGGAGCGGUGGAAUGCGCAGAUAUCAGGAGGAACACCAGUGGCGAAGGCGGUUCUCUGGGCCUUUCCUGACGCUGAGGAGCGAAAGCGUGGGGAGCGAACAGGCUUAGAUACCAUGGUAGUCCACGCUGUAAACGGUGGGUACUAGGUGUGGGGUCCAUUCCACGGGUUCCGUGCCGUAGCUAACGCUUUAAGUACCCCGCCUGGGGAGUACGGCCGCAAGGCUAAAACUCAAAGGAAUUGACGGGGCCCCGCACAAGCGGCGGAGCAUGCGGAUUAAUUCGAUGCAACGCGUAGAACCUUACCUGGGUUUGACAUGGAUCGGGAGUGCUCAGAGAUGGGUGUGCCUCUUUUGGGGUCGGUUCACAGGUGGUGCAUGGCUGUCGUCAGCCCGUGUCGUGAGAUGUUGGGUUAAGUCCCGCAACGAGCGCAACCCUUGUUCACUGUUGCCAGCACGUUAUGGUGGGGACUCAGUGGAGACCGCCGGGGUCAACUCGGAGGAAGGUGGGGAUGACGUCAAGUCAUCAUGCCCCUUAUGUCCAGGGCUUCACGCAUGCUACAAUGGCUGGUACAGAGAGUGGCGAGCCUGUGAGGGUGAGCGAAUCUCGGAAAGCCGGUCUCAGUUCGGAUUGGGGUCUGCAACUCGACCUCAUGAAGUCGGAGUCGCUAGUAAUCGCAGAUCAGCAACGCUGCGGUGAAGACGUUCCCGGGGCU
RNAcentral lists this ribosomal RNA (1346 nucleotides) under uncultured bacterium. Its description in RNAcentral is "partial 16S ribosomal RNA". It matches the Rfam family "Bacterial small subunit ribosomal RNA", at positions 28 to 1381 of the family's 1533-position model. The record is from RNAcentral.